AUCGAACGCUGGCGGCAUGCCUAACACAUGCAAGUCGAGCGAGCGGCGGACGGUUGCGUACUGUAUGGUGACUGCCCGUUACCUGCGGAUCACUACUGGAUACGGUAGCUAAUACCGCAUUCUAUCGGAUACCGCUUAUGGGAUUGGCUAGUAGGUGAGGUAAUGGCCCACCUAGGCGACGAUCCCUAGCUGGGCUGCGAGGAUGAUCAGCCACACUGGGACUGGGAAACGGCCCAGACUCCGACGGGGGCAGCAGUGGGGAAUAUUGCACAAUGGGCGAAAGCCUGAUGAAGCAAUGCCGCGUGUAUGAAGAAGGCCCUAGGGUUGUAAAGUACUUUCAGUCGGGAGGCGGUAACGACAGAGGAAGCACCGGCUAACUCCGUGCCAGCCGCCGCGGUAAUAC
Molecule: ribosomal RNA, 403 nt
Filed under: uncultured bacterium
Lineage: Bacteria
Description: partial 16S ribosomal RNA
Rfam family: Bacterial small subunit ribosomal RNA
Source: RNAcentral